Molecule: ribosomal RNA, 406 nt
Filed under: Salmonella enterica subsp. enterica serovar Muenchen
Lineage: Bacteria; Pseudomonadati; Pseudomonadota; Gammaproteobacteria; Enterobacterales; Enterobacteriaceae
Also listed under: 2 other names
Description: partial 23S ribosomal RNA
Rfam family: Bacterial large subunit ribosomal RNA
Source: RNAcentral
GUGGGUAGUUUGACUGGGGCGGUCUCCUCCUAAAGAGUAACGGAGGAGCACGAAGGUUGGCUAAUCCUGGUCGGACAUCAGGAGGUUAGUGCAAUGGCAUAAGCCAGCUUGACUGCGAGCGUGACGGCGCGAGCAGGUGCGAAAGCAGGUCAUAGUGAUCCGGUGGUUCUGAAUGGAAGGGCCAUCGCUCAACGGAUAAAAGGUACUCCGGGGAUAACAGGCUGAUACCGCCCAAGAGUUCAUAUCGACGGCGGUGUUUGGCACCUCGAUGUCGGCUCAUCACAUCCUGGGGCUGAAGUAGGUCCCAAGGGUAUGGCUGUUCGCCAUUUAAAGUGGUACGCGAGCUGGGUUUAGAACGUCGUGAGACAGUUCGGUCCCUAUCUGCCGUGGGCGCUGGAGAACUGAG